UUUGUUUGAGACACAAUUGUUAGAUUAGAUCAAAUAAUUAUACUGACAACGCUGUAAAUUAUAAACUAGUAGGAAAAUAGGCCCUGUUCCGUACGCCGCAAGUGAAACACCCCUGCUCCUGCACUUCACUCUACCAAUGCAACGCUCUGCAACGAUACAAGCAUAUGCAGUUGAAAACCAGUUAUCGGACGGCAUGCUAAAGCCCGUUAGCCGACACACGCACACAAAGGCGCAUCGGGAGAGGACUCCGGGCAGCCAAAUAAACGUCGCGUCGCACAACGAAAAAACAACACUCACAUCUAUCCAGUAGGCGACAAUCACAACCCACUGCGAGAGGAGAGAGAAUGAAUAAAAAACAGAAGAAAAUCUACACACGACACUGCUGAAUGUCAGAAAAUCACGCGGGAGAAAAGGAUGGCCACAACUCUCUCGUUUGUUCGACUGCUCUGAACGCAGCACUGAUCUCCAACCAACGCGCGUCGGGUAAAAGAUAGAGAAUCGUCAGAUAGUUCACAUUCUCCAGAGGAACAAGUCGUGCGCGAUCUACCGUCGUCGCGUUCCGUGAGCUUAAGUAGUGAUCAGUACGGCAAAAGUUAAAACACGCGGUAGCGACUGACCUUUGAGCGGUUUGCAGUAGCUCGGUCGCGAAUCCAUUUAGUCGGUUCGCAGUUUGAAAACCGGUGUUUAAGCGCAUCCAAACCCGCUGUGCGGUGAUUAAACACGGCACUGGGUCUAAUAGAAGCCGUUAGAGAGUAUUUAACGCCAAGUCAGGAUUGUCGUUUCCACUCCGUGCGCCGGAGAUCAAGGCGGAAGUUUUCAGCAGCAAUUUAGUUGCCCGGGACGACAAAAAAGACCAGUGAGUUCACACGACGACACGACGCCUCGAGGAAGAAGAAAGGAACAAUCGCACCAUUCGAGCACGUGCCAGUGGUUCCUAAACGCCCCUCUGUUGUUUUGACACGCCAACAAAGGAAACCAUCUCUUCGUCGAAAAAAAAGGCCCCUUCACAGGGGUCUUUUCGGCGGAUCUUAUUCCGUAGAUUUGGUCCUUUUGUUUGGCAGGUGGUGAUCGUCAGCUCGUUGGGGAUUAGGACGAAGGUGGAUUGCGGUUCAAGCCAGGAAGUCACGCCAGGGCUCGCGUUGACCGUUGACGCCGAAAGACAGUGUGCGUAGAAAGCAUUGAUGCUUAGUAUACCUGCGAACUCAGCGAGGGAGUGAAGCGUGGUCUGCUAGGUGGCCAGUACGAUCGACGCGGGAGUCGGAGGCAAAGCUCGGAGACUAGAAGCCGGCAAGGCUGGCGUGGUAGUGUGUGUGCGCGAAGCGGAUUCAGAGCCAGCAUGCAGGAAGAAUGUGGCGUACGGAGGCGGCAUAGAUCGCGAAGCAACUAUUCUUAAUACAGUAAGACGGGCCCGUCCGUGAGUAAAACUAGUUUUAGUAUGAAAAAUAGCCAUUAGAAAACAGCGUAGGAUUAUUAGCCAAGAGCUAAGAAGAGAACCAAGUUCGGAUGAACAAUAAACGUAUGUAAAAUGUAA
Molecule: long non-coding RNA, 1531 nt
Organism: Armigeres subalbatus
Lineage: Eukaryota; Metazoa; Arthropoda; Insecta; Diptera; Culicidae
Exons: 3
Source: RefSeq, a predicted model, not a curated record